Molecule: ribosomal RNA, 497 nt
Filed under: uncultured bacterium
Lineage: Bacteria
Description: partial 16S ribosomal RNA
Rfam family: Bacterial small subunit ribosomal RNA
Source: RNAcentral
GAUGAACGCUGGCGGCGUGCCUAAUACAUGCAAGUCGAGCGAACGGACGAGAAGCUUGCUUCUCUGAUGUUAGCGGCGGACGGGUGAGUAACACGUGGAUAACCUACCUAUAAGACUGGGAUAACUUCGGGAAACCGUAGCUAAUACCGGAUAAUAUUUUGAACCGCAUGGUUCAAAAGUGAAAGACGGUCUUGCUGUCACUUAUAGAUGGAUCCGCGCUGCAUUAGCUAGUUGGUAAGGUAACGGCUUACCAAGGCAACGAUGCAUAGCCGACCUGAGAGGGUGAACGGCCACACUGGAACUGAGACACGGUCCAGACUCCUAAGGGAGGCAGCAGUAGGGAAUCUUCCGCAAUGGGCGGAAGCCUGACGGAGCAACGCCGCGUGAGUGAUGAAGGUCUUCGGAUCGUAAAACUCUGUUAUUAGGGAAGAACAUAUGUGUAAGUAACUGUGCACAUCUUGACGGUACCUAAUCAGAAAGCCACGGCUAACUACGUG